This 407-nucleotide ribosomal RNA is filed under the name uncultured Bdellovibrio sp. RNAcentral describes it as "bacterial SSU rRNA". It matches the Rfam family "Bacterial small subunit ribosomal RNA", at positions 355 to 776 of the family's 1533-position model. Lineage: Bacteria; Pseudomonadati; Bdellovibrionota; Bdellovibrionia; Bdellovibrionales; Pseudobdellovibrionaceae. The record is from RNAcentral.
UAGGGAAUAUUGCACAAUGGAGGAAACUCUGAUGCAGCGACGCCGCGUGAGUGAUGAAGGAUUUCGGUCUGUAAAGCUCUGUUGUCAGGGAAUAAAAAAAUGAAUGUACCUGACGAGAAAGGGACGGCUAACUUCGUGCCAGCAGCCGCGGUAAUACGAAGGUCCCAAGCGUUGUUCGGAAUCAUUGGGCGUAAAGCGAGUGCGGGUGGCUUUUUAAGUCAGGAGUGAAAGCCCAGGGCUCAACCCUGGAAGUGCUUUUGAUACUGGAAAGCUUGAAUGUGGCAGAGGGUGCUAGAAUACCUAGUGUAGUGGUGAAAUACGUAGAUAUUAGGUGGAACACCGGUGGCGAAGGCGGGCACCUGGGCCAACAUUGACACUUAGACUCGAAAGCGUGGGGAUCAAACAGG